Molecule: long non-coding RNA, 335 nt
Organism: Clupea harengus (Atlantic herring)
Lineage: Eukaryota; Metazoa; Chordata; Actinopteri; Clupeiformes; Clupeidae
Source: Ensembl
GGAAAGUUUGCGGGACCAGGAAGUGAGUGAGUGGUCAGUGUUUGUGUUGUGCGGAAAGCAAUGGAUUAGCUGCGGGCAAUGAAUUAUGGAGCGGAAUCGGCUGGUACCUAACCGACCGCUAUGAUGGUGACCUCAAAAGGGUGACCAUCACUUCUCCCUGCGGGACCUGUCAAUUUCUUCAAGGGCUCAUAAUUGCUUUCCUCCAUGUAGUAUUAUCGGCUCAUGGUGUGUUAUCCAUGCUUGAUGCCGUAUCGAUACAUCGUUUCUUCCAUCACUCUGCGAACUGUCAGAUAACAACGCAGCCAACUGGGCAGAAAUCAUUUCCACAUAUUGAC